ACUCCAAGAGGCUGCUUGUACAAAUGAGUUAGCUGGCAAGCUUUACACCUUCUGAAAAUUAUUAUAGCUGAAUAACUUGACAUAGUGACCUAGUGUUUACCCCCUACCCAUUAUUAGCAACUGUCUCAGCAAGUGAAGUUAAAAACUGACCAUACUUUAAAAUCUGGUUUAUUGAUGUAAAACUGCCGUUUCUACACAAUCAGCUUUAUUUACAGAAGUAACUACAUACAUUUGGUGCCGAUGCUGGAUAAACUACUCUUCAGUCUGCAUAGAAUUUAGAAACAACAACCCUGAAGACAAAACUCACAAUAUGGCAACAUUUGUUUCUGCACUAAAGUGCUAAAACACUAAAACCUCAUGGUUAUUUUUGUGAAACAGUCCGUUAGAAAUGAAGUGCAAGAAAGAAACUACACAGAGCUGCUCAACUGUAUUUAUAUUUUGCACGGUAAAAAAA
This is a long non-coding RNA of Lacerta agilis (Sand lizard), 454 nucleotides long. RefSeq lists it as uncharacterized. The record is from RefSeq and is a predicted model, not a curated record. The transcript has 2 exons. Lineage: Eukaryota; Metazoa; Chordata; Lepidosauria; Squamata; Lacertidae.